This 410-nucleotide unclassified non-coding RNA is filed under the name Hevea brasiliensis (rubber tree). Lineage: Eukaryota; Viridiplantae; Streptophyta; Magnoliopsida; Malpighiales; Euphorbiaceae. The record is from RNAcentral.
GGAAAAUUAUCUUUAAGAAUUAUAUGCAUACCGUGCUCAAGACAAAACAGUUGGAUAAGGAUUGAGCUAUACGUAUAUAGUUGGUGGUCUCUGAAGAAUAUUAACGGCUAGCAGUGGAGAUUGCUGUAUGGGUGGGUACACUAGCUAGCUUAAGGUGGUUUGAAGUAUGUUGCAAAGCUUAUAGGGUUUGUCAGUGUCACAGCAGGGUUCCUGGGAGGAGUUGCACUCUCUCAUUUUGCUUUGUUGAGUCUCUUAAGAAAUUAAAUGCAGUCGGGUACCUUUUGGCCAAAAGAAAAGAAUUCUUAGUACCUAAACCUGCAAACUUUUACAGAUUCAUUGAAGACCUUUAAUUGCUAGGCCCCCCAAGGUCAUCGUUGGCGGAAGGAAACCAGAAAGGGUAAAAAAGGAAG